Molecule: small RNA, 1312 nt
Filed under: Histoplasma capsulatum
Lineage: Eukaryota; Fungi; Ascomycota; Eurotiomycetes; Onygenales; Ajellomycetaceae
Also listed under: 1 other name
Description: hypothetical RNA
Source: RNAcentral
CCAAGUCCAGGCAAGAUUUUUUGCCUUUCAUUUCACAUGGGAAUGAACCAGAUGAACUCUAAAUAAAUAAAUAUUUGCUACCUAACAAACUCCAAUGGGCGAAAUAUCCAUGCCAAUGAAACGAAAAAGAGCUUUAACAUAAGCAGCAAGAACGCCAAACCGGUUCCGUCUAUAGCUUUUUUUUGACGGGUGUGAGUGAAAUGAAAAGUACCACCCGGAGAGAGUAUAUAUAUGUAUAUAUGCAUAUCAUUAUCACAAUCUCCGCGGUUGCAACGCAAGAGGGCAAAGAGAAAAACGGUGGAAGGAAAAAGGGACAAUAGAACUGAAUGUCGCGAAACGAUGUGAGAGAGGUGAAAAAGAGUCUAUGUAAGAAAUCCAUCGCAUGUAUGAUAUCCCGAUCUGCAAACAGAAAAACAUUAAGAAACAGAAAAGAAUAAAAUCCAAACCAAAAAGAGGCGGGAAAAAAUAAAUAAAUAAAAGGAAGCCCCCUUAUGUUCACAUCAUUAACUUCGGUCUUUUACGACCAAAAAUAAUCGCUGGUUCGAAAAUGUUAUGCUUCAUCAUCGGUGUCUGGCGGGUGAGGUGUGCCUUUGGGAGAGUUAAGCCUGGAAAGAGGAACGUUAUAUGUUAGCAUAGUCCACCCAUCAAACAAGGAUGAGAAGGAAGAAUUGACAACGCACCAUUCAAUAUGUCUCAAUCGCCUCCGCACCUCACGUUCCUUCAUCUGUGCACGAGUCAACUUCUUCUUUUUCUUCGCCUUGAACUUCAACUCUCCGCCCGCAUCCUCCGCCCCAGAAUUAGCUGCAGACGCCGCCGCAGAGGCUACCGCGCUGGAAACGACGCUGCUAGCCACAGUGCUGGGUCCGCGCGAGCUGUCCUCAAACCGGUCGAGGGAGAGCGAUACAUGGCCCUUAUGCGUCAUCCGGCCGUUUUCGACAUGCCAUUGCUCCGGGCAUAGCGCACCGACGAAUUCCUCGUUAUGGGAAAUCAUCACCACACCCCCCUUGUAGUCACGGAUGGCGACGGCAAGACCGCCCAGCGAGUCGCGGUCCAGAAAGUUAGUGGGCUCGUCAAGGACGAGGAGAUGCGGGUUAUUCCACAUCGCGCCGGCGAGGACGACUUUGACCUUUUGGCCGCCGGAGAGACCGGAGAUUUGGUUGUGGUUUGCAAUUUCUGGAUCGAGGCCGACGUCUUCGAAGUGCUUGGAGAUUACUUUCGGUUCCAGGACGCGGUAGCCUAGACCCUCACGAGAGGCUUCGUGGUCGUCGUAUUCUUGGACGAGCUUUUGGAAGCCUUCUUUUAAAAGUGUUUC